UGACUCUUUUUGUUUUUCGGU
This 21-nucleotide non-coding RNA is filed under the name Caenorhabditis elegans. Lineage: Eukaryota; Metazoa; Nematoda; Chromadorea; Rhabditida; Rhabditidae. The record is from RNAcentral.